Molecule: transfer RNA, 73 nt
Filed under: Campellolebias dorsimaculatus
Lineage: Eukaryota; Metazoa; Chordata; Actinopteri; Cyprinodontiformes; Rivulidae
Description: tRNA-Asn
Rfam family: tRNA
About the family: Transfer RNA (tRNA) molecules are approximately 80 nucleotides in length. Their secondary structure includes four short double-helical elements and three loops (D, anti-codon, and T loops).
Source: RNAcentral
UAGACGAAAGCUUGCUGGUUAGAGCAUUUAAUUGUUAAUUAAAAGUUUGUAGGAUCAAAACCUGCUCGUCUAG